GCAGGGGCGACACCGGAGUAAUGGGAGUUUGCUUCUUGCAAGACAUUCGCCGUGAAAACAAUUUGAUAUGAAGACAAGCCUUUGUUUCAACUUUGUUUUAAAAUUUCCAACAUAAGGCUGUUACGGCCCAGGUCAAUGUUCUUAAGCAUCACAUAUUUUUCUUUCAUUUUAUUGUUAGCUUUCUUAAAUAAAUAUUCACAUAUUAUAGACUAUAUUUUUUAUAAUUUCUUUUUUGUUCAAUUUCAGUUAAACACUAUUUCUGAUUUCUUUUUUAUAAAUUUUAAAUGUCUUUUUCUUUUUCUUCAUCUUUUUGAAACCCUGGUUUUGUAUUACCACUGACCAGUUCAGUAAAGAAACAGCUGCUUCAUGUUUGCAUAAAUGUGUUUGUAACCAAUCUAUAGCUAACAUGCUAUUAUUUCCAUAUUUUUUUAUUCCGUGUCUAUAUAUAGUCUCGAUCCGGGAGACAAGAUUUAUUUUGUCUGUUGGUUGCUUGGCUAGCGUAAACUAAUCGAUUUACCUCAUACUUUGAAGUUAGAUGGGGAUUGUUUUUAAAUAAAUGCUUUAAUUUUAGUAAUCUCUGAUGUAUUUAUGAUGGCUUGGUUUGAAGCGAGAAACGACGAAAUAUGCGGACUAGUCCUUAAAUUAAAGGAUGCGAAAAGAUAUAUUAAUGUAACUUUUUCAAAGUUCAAGUUGAUCAAUUAUUGAUUUAAGUGAAUAAAUCAAAUUUAUUUUCUCGAGGAAUAAAUCAAAUCAGGAACAUAUAUAUUGUUAGGUAUACUGUUCCCAAAUUGAAUAGUAUACAAAUCCUAGUUCUUAUAUUAUAGUAAUAAUUAUUCAUCGGCGAAAAGGAUAGUAUCUUUAUUGUGUUGGAAGAAUCGUAAAAGUGUUUUAUUUUCUAAAUUCUAUUUAUUUACUCGGACAUCGUAGAGUUUAAAAUUCUUCUUUUUUGCGUAAACCCCUGAGGGUUUACGCAGUAUAUAUUGGACGAGUGAUGUAGUCUUUCGGAACACCGGAUGUUAGUCGGAACACUUCUGGUCUUUCUAUGACCACCUUUCAAAUACAUGCGCAAUAGCUAUGACCACCUUUCAAAUGCAUGCGCAAUAGCUUACAAAUCUGUUGAAUAUGCAUUAGCAUCUUAAGUUGC
RNAcentral lists this long non-coding RNA (1144 nucleotides) under Mytilus galloprovincialis (Mediterranean mussel). Lineage: Eukaryota; Metazoa; Mollusca; Bivalvia; Mytilida; Mytilidae. The record is from RNAcentral.